AUGUGUUACGUGGUGAAUCCAUUGGUCACUCUUGUGGUGAAUCCUGGAUUCAUAUCCUUUCACUUUCUCUGGAGUUCAGGGUCCUUUUUCACUUCUGUUGAAUAUUCAUUGCAGAAUAUGGUUUCAACUCCCAAGCUAGUUAAUAUUGCUUCAUUUGAGACUGCAAAAAAUGUCAUUGGAAAUAAACAGUGGAUAUACAAGACAAAUGUAUGAACACAAGGCCAACUUAAGGAUACAUCCCCAACAGGUAAUGUUAUUUCAACAGAAGCUUUCAGUUAAAGGCAAUAUUGUCUAGACAAAGUCAGUUUGCCUUUAAAUAAAAGUUCUAAAAAUAUAGAAAGCA
RNAcentral lists this long non-coding RNA (343 nucleotides) under Anser brachyrhynchus (Pink-footed goose). Its description in RNAcentral is "lncRNA (ENSABRG00000006081.1)". Lineage: Eukaryota; Metazoa; Chordata; Aves; Anseriformes; Anatidae. The record is from RNAcentral.